Molecule: ribosomal RNA, 480 nt
Filed under: uncultured bacterium
Lineage: Bacteria
Description: bacterial SSU rRNA
Rfam family: Bacterial small subunit ribosomal RNA
Source: RNAcentral
GAUCCUGGCUCAGAAUGAACGUUGGCGGCGUGGAUUAGGCAUGCAAGUCGAGCGAGUCUACCUAGUAGCAAUAUUGGGUAAGUCGAGCGGCGUAAGGGGCAGUAAUACCUGGGAACUACCCUGAGGUCGGGGAUAGCUGCUGGAAACGGCGAGUAAUACCCGAUGAUCUUGGAAAAGCAAAGGCUUGCCGCCUUAGGAGCGGCCCAGGCGAUAUUAGCUAGUUGGUGGGGUAAUGGCCUACCAAGGCAUAGAUGUCUAGCGGGUGUGAGAGCACGACCCGCGCCACUGGCACUGAGACACUGGCCAGACACCUACGGGUGGCUGCAGUCGAGAAUCUUCGGCAAUGAGCGCAAGCUUGACCGAGCGACGCCGCGUGCGGGAUGAAGGCCUCGGUUGUAACGACUUGUCGAAGAAGGUAAAACGUUAGAUCGAUCGGAGAAACGAAGGACGGGCGUAAGUUCGUGCCAGCAGCCGCGGUAA